Molecule: ribosomal RNA, 39 nt
Filed under: Riedelia sp. LMP-2002
Lineage: Eukaryota; Viridiplantae; Streptophyta; Magnoliopsida; Zingiberales; Zingiberaceae
Description: partial 26S ribosomal RNA
Source: RNAcentral
GUGGCCCCAAGUCAGGCGAGAUCCACCCGCCGAAUUUAA